AUUAGCUAGUUGGUGGGGUAAAGGCCUACCAAGGCGACGAUCCGUAACUGGUCUGAGAGGAUGAUCAGUCACACUGGAACUGAGACACGGUCCAGACUCCUACGGGAGGCAGCAGUGGGGAAUAUUGGACAAUGGGCGAAAGCCUGAUCCAGCCAUGCCGCGUGUGUGAAGAAGGUCUUCGGAUUGUAAAGCACUUUAAGUUGGGAGGAAGGGCAGUAAGUUAAUACCUUGCUGUUUUGACGUUACCAACAGAAUAAGCACCGGCUAACUUCGUGCCAGCAGCCGCGGUAAUACGAAGGGUGCAAGCGUUAAUCGGAAUUACUGGGCGUAAAGCGCGCGUAGGUGGUUCAGCAAGUUGGAUGUGAAAUCCCCGGCCUCAACCUGGGAACUGCAUCCAAAACUACUGAGCUAGAGUACGGUAGAGGGUGGUGGAAUUUCCUGUGUAGCGGUGAAAUGCGUAGAUAUAGGAAGGAACACCAGUGGCGAAGGCGACCACCUGGACUGAUACUGACACUGAGGUGCGAAAGCUUGGGGAGCAAACAGGAUUAGAUACCCUGGUAGUCCACGCCGUAAACGAUGUCGACUAGCCGUUGGGAUCCUUGAGAUCUUAGUGGCGCAGCUAACGCGAUAAGUCGACCGCCUGGGGAGUACGGCCGCAAGGUUAAAACUCAAAUGAAUUGACGGGGGCCCGCACAAGCGGUGGAGCAUGUGGUUUAAUUCGAAGCAACGCGAAGAACCUUACCUGGCCUUGAC
This 753-nucleotide ribosomal RNA is filed under the name Pseudomonas aeruginosa. RNAcentral's name for it is "bacterial SSU rRNA". It matches the Rfam family "Bacterial small subunit ribosomal RNA", at positions 240 to 985 of the family's 1533-position model. Lineage: Bacteria; Pseudomonadati; Pseudomonadota; Gammaproteobacteria; Pseudomonadales; Pseudomonadaceae. The record is from RNAcentral.